RNAcentral lists this ribosomal RNA (440 nucleotides) under uncultured bacterium. RNAcentral describes it as "partial 16S ribosomal RNA". It matches the Rfam family "Bacterial small subunit ribosomal RNA", at positions 338 to 795 of the family's 1533-position model. The record is from RNAcentral.
CCUACGGGAGGCAGCAGUGGGGGAUAUUGCACAAUGGGGGAAACCCUGAUGCAGCGACGCCGCGUGGGUGAAGAAGCGCCUCGGCGCGUAAAGCCCUGUCAGCAGGGAAGAAAAUGACGGUACCUGAAGAAGAAGCCCCGGCUAACUACGUGCCAGCAGCCGCGGUAAUACGUAGGGGGCAAGCGUUAUCCGGAUUUACUGGGUGUAAAGGGGGCGCAGACGGCGAUGCAAGCCAGGAGUGAAAGCCCGGGGCCCAACCCCGGGACUGCUCUUGGAACUGCGUGGCUAGAGUGCAGGAGGGGCAGGCGGAAUUGCUGGUGUAGCGGUGAAAUGCGUAGAUAGCAGGAGGAACACCGGUGGCGAAGGCGGCCUGCUGGACUGCAACUGACGUUGAGGCCCGAAAGCGUGGGGAGCAAACAGGAUUAGAUACCCCAGUAGUC